This is a non-coding RNA of Musa acuminata subsp. malaccensis (wild Malaysian banana), 466 nucleotides long. The record is from RefSeq and is a predicted model, not a curated record. NCBI's taxonomy places the organism in Eukaryota, Viridiplantae, Streptophyta, Magnoliopsida, Zingiberales, Musaceae.
AUGAACAUCAUUAACUUUUAUAAAAUUAUCAUUAAUUUUAUUUUCAAGAAUUGCAAAUCAUGGUGCUGGUUUUUACCUAGUUAACUAUGCAUGUUAUGUCUCUAGCAAGAUUAGUAAUAAAUUGCUCUUGGAAGUGAUGGGAGUUGGUUUUAUGUUGAUAUUAGUCCAGGAAAGAAUGUGAAUACCGAUGGCAAAGCCUCACAUGAAGAAGCCAACAGUUGUUGACAGUACUACUGGUCAGAGGAAAGACAGCAGGUUCAGGCAUGUUUUCUUAGAAGAGGACAAGAUAAAUCAUCCGACCAAUUGAAAAAAUGAUUGCAGAUUACACCUUCAUACCUGCAGUAUGGCACUGAUACCAGUCGCAUGCCAGAACGGUCUGGCACCAGUACAUACAAUGGAUCGAGUUUUUGUAUGGAUAUGGAUCACUACCGAUUGAUAGGGAGGGAGGGAUGAGAGAGAGAGAGAG